GGAGGGGUGGCAGAGUCUGGCUGAUUGCACUGGUCUUGAAAACCAGCAUGUCUUAUGGGCAUCGGGGGUUCGAAUCCCUCCCCCUCCGCAA
This 91-nucleotide transfer RNA is filed under the name Fidelibacterota bacterium. Its description in RNAcentral is "tRNA-Ser". It matches the Rfam family "tRNA". Rfam says of the family: Transfer RNA (tRNA) molecules are approximately 80 nucleotides in length. Their secondary structure includes four short double-helical elements and three loops (D, anti-codon, and T loops). Further hydrogen bonds mediate the characteristic L-shaped molecular structure. tRNAs have two regions of fundamental functional importance: the anti-codon, which is responsible for specific mRNA codon recognition, and the 3' end, to which the tRNAs corresponding amino acid is attached (by aminoacyl-tRNA synthetases). tRNAs cope with the degeneracy of the genetic code in two manners: having more than one tRNA (with a specific anti-codon) for a particular amino acid; and 'wobble' base-pairing, i.e. permitting non-standard base-pairing at the 3rd anti-codon position. Lineage: Bacteria; Pseudomonadati; Fidelibacterota. The record is from RNAcentral.